This 345-nucleotide unclassified non-coding RNA is filed under the name soil metagenome. RNAcentral's name for it is "partial contains 5.8S ribosomal RNA, internal transcribed spacer 2, and large subunit ribosomal RNA". The stretch from base 1 to 120 matches the Rfam family "5.8S ribosomal RNA", at positions 35 to 154 of the family's 154-position model. The record is from RNAcentral.
GAUGAAGAACGUAGCGAAAUGCGAUACGUAAUGUGAAUUGCAGAAUUCAGUGAAUCAUCGAGUCUUUGAACGCACAUUGCGCCCCCUGGUAUUCCGGGGGGCAUGCCUGUCCGAGCGUCAUUGCUGCCCUCAAGCACGGCUUGUGUGUUGGGCCUCCGUCCUCCUCCCGGGGGACGGGCCCGAAAGGCAGCGGCGGCACCGCGUCCGGUCCUCGAGCGUAUGGGGCUCCGUCACCCGCUCUUGUAGGCCCGGCCGGCGCUUGCCGACACAUCAAUCUUUUUUCCAGGUUGACCUCGGAUCAGGUAGGGAUACCCGCUGAACUUAAGCAUAUCAAUAAGCGGAGGA